Molecule: transfer RNA, 73 nt
Filed under: Magnetospira sp. QH-2
Lineage: Bacteria; Pseudomonadati; Pseudomonadota; Alphaproteobacteria; Rhodospirillales; Thalassospiraceae
Rfam family: tRNA
About the family: Transfer RNA (tRNA) molecules are approximately 80 nucleotides in length. Their secondary structure includes four short double-helical elements and three loops (D, anti-codon, and T loops).
Source: Rfam by way of RNAcentral
GGGCGCGUAGCUCAGUUGGUAGAGCAUCUGACUUUUAAUCAGACGGCCACAGGUUCGAAUCCUGUCGCGCUCA